RNAcentral lists this non-coding RNA (182 nucleotides) under human gut metagenome. RNAcentral describes it as "6S / SsrS RNA". It matches the Rfam family "6S / SsrS RNA". Rfam says of the family: E. coli 6S RNA was the first non coding RNA to be sequenced, but its function was unknown until recently. It consists of 184 nucleotides that fold into an extended hairpin structure with a large single-stranded internal bulge. The record is from RNAcentral.
UGCCUGCGGUGUUCGAGAAAUGCGACUAAUACUAACCCUAUGUCAAUUUUAAGGGAGUCCGGGCUUCCGCGUGGGAUUGCAGACCUCCCGACUUUUGUCGGACGAAGGGAGCGUGAAAACGCAGAGAGGACACCCACCUGCUAAGAGCAGGUUUCUAUUAUCGCAUCCGGCAUUGCGGGUUU